GACUGACAGAGGUUUUUAAACCUCGAUGACCGAGUUGACAAGAUUUAUUUCAAGGCUCUCUUCAUGUAUUGGGAUAGCGAUGCCACCAAAAAUAAAUCCACGAAGGGGUCCAUAAAUAGAGGAAAGAAGAUGUAUGACCACCAUUUGGGCUCACACUCCUACGCCAAUCUGGAGGAUGCUUAUUGUCAGGACACGGGAAAAUCAUUAAUGUUGAUACACUUGACGGCAAAAGCGGCAUAUGAUACUUUCCAUGAUAAAUAUAGGGGUGAUAAGAAGAAUCAGGAUAAGAUCAGGGAAAAUCUCGAGUUGAUGAGUGGAUUUGAGGCUGCAUCCAAGGAGGCUGCAUCUGCGCAUAUUUCGUAGGAGGAGGAACAAACCUAGCCGGAUCCUCACAUGCUUUCUACAGAGGAGAACAUCACUCUCACACAGAACCUGAUGGGUUAUAACAGGAGAGGAAGAUAUCCUCUGUAUGGAAUUGGCGCUUCACCCGGCAUAAGUAUGAGAUCAUCCACAACAUCCUCCACGCCAUCUGCGUCAAUAAGAACAGCCCCAAGCAGUUUCCAGGCUAUGCCACUUGCCGCAUGUAUCUCUACGUAUUUGAUUGAUAAGAUUGACCCGGAGCUGCAUAUUCAGGUGACUAAUGAGAUGACUAGAGUUACGCUGACAGCGAACUCCAUGGACGAUCUCAUGGGGUAUGUAAUACAAUAUUUAGGCGGUCCGAUUCCUUAUAGCGCGUAUGGUGGUGUCAUACGGCUCAUAAGCUCGAGUUGUGAUAAUUCUGGCGCUAGACAUAGCAGCGCACAUAGUGGAGAUAUUGGAAGGAGCAGCACCCGUUCUCGUAACCGGGAUAGAGAUACCCUCGUCGACGAUGAUAGCUGAGGUUUUUUGCCAUUUUUAUUGCAAUAAACAGUUUACUUUGUUAUAACACUACAUUUA
Molecule: long non-coding RNA, 936 nt
Organism: Asparagus officinalis (garden asparagus)
Lineage: Eukaryota; Viridiplantae; Streptophyta; Magnoliopsida; Asparagales; Asparagaceae
Exons: 6
Source: RefSeq, a predicted model, not a curated record